GGGAAAAUACGACUAUAUAAAGAAGUGCACCAAUUCGAACAUGCAGUACUGAAAUUGGUAGAACAAUCAUGUAAUCAAAGAGCAGAAGCAUGCAAGUAAGAAAUCAGAAGCAGUUAGGGUUUAAACAUGUAGCAAGCAAUUUCACAGUAAAGAUUUAACUCGAAAACCCUAGAAAUACCACAGUAAAGAAAAUACGUAGAGCCAUAGUGGAAAAUACUCAAAAAUCACAGUAAAGUUUAAAGGAAAUCACAAUAGAGCAGAUAAAGCAAAUAAAUUGAAGAAACACUAAAUUUUAGGAAGACGAACAGUUUGAACACAAAGUCGGCGAAGAAAUGUGAGAAAUACUUUGAAACUUCAGAAAAUAACUAGGAUCUAGGGAAGAUCAUAAAUAAAAACACAGAGAAAACCUUGAGAAUUAGGGGUUUCAGAGAGAGAACCAUAGAGACACGAGAAAAGCCUGGAACAGAAUGUUUCUAAGUCGACAAAGGACUCACAGCAUCAAGGCUUGCCGGAGAGAGACCGGUCACGGUUGUAGAAACUCAAGUCGAUGGACCUUUGAAUAGUUGUCUUCACAAUACGGUUUCAAUCCUCGAACAACAGGGUCGUAGAAGGGAUUGAUGAGUGAGUGCAAGUAGAGUGAAGCCUGGAUAGUCAUAGUUUCCAGUGGAAAGAGGUCAGAAAGUGACCGGAGGUGGCUACGGUUUCAGAUAGGCUUGGGAGAAUUUGAGAGAGGAGAGGGAUACAAG
This 746-nucleotide long non-coding RNA is filed under the name Nicotiana benthamiana. RNAcentral's name for it is "long non-coding RNA (NBEN_LNC004527)". The record is from RNAcentral. Lineage: Eukaryota; Viridiplantae; Streptophyta; Magnoliopsida; Solanales; Solanaceae.